CUUUAGCAGUGACUGGACAUAAAAGCUUAACAAAUAGACAGACAGGUAUGUUCAUCUUUAUGUGAAAAGAGCAGCAGACUACAUUGUUGUUUUCACGCGCAAACUUACAUUUUAAGUAUUUUAAAAUGAAUUUCAUUUUUAUUUACUUAAUGAUAUGGUUUUAUAUGAAAUUGUUUGAAAUAAACAUGCUUUGUCUGUUUAAAAAAAUGUUGCUUGAGGACUGUUUUCUGACCCAGCACCAGUGGAAACUCAGACUGCUAUACCGACUCGUACACAUUGUGUGCUGUCUCUUCAGUCGAUUUGAUGUUCUCAUAACUCUUGUUGCUGCUACUGUAUACUUUCCAUCCACAGAGCACUUUGGUGGAUGCAACAGUGGGAUUUGUAGUUUUUUGAUGCAGGAGAUGUUGCCCUUGAGCACCAGCAUGAAACCAAAACAACUCGAGCUGCAUUGUUAUGUUAGCAGGCUAAUGCUAGCGCUCUUUAGUUAGCUCGCAGCUUCACACUGCAUUGAGUACAGUAUGUUCUUCUUUUCUUCUUUUCUCUAGUCCCUCGAUUAAAAAACUUUUAUAUGCAAGGGCCAAGGGGAUAAGCUGGCCGGCCGUCCAGUCCAUGUAAACAUGUCUAGAUACGGCUCAUUGUAGACAGUCAUGACUCACAGAGUUAUGUUCAGAGGAUAUACCUGAUUUCUGCUUUAUUUAUGUGUAAAAUGUCCAUAUUCAGCCUUUAAAGCUUAUAAACAUAUUUUUCAAAAUGGCAAAAAGCAUUCUUAAUAAAUUAAACAAAGGGUUAACUAGCCUGGCUCUAUGGAAUUGUAGGCUAGCCGCAACCUCUGUACUAAGCUAGCGAACAGCAUUUUCCAGUUUGAACACAUGAAUCUUCAGAAUUAAGGCAUUACAGCAUUCAGCAAUACACAGUUCCAAAAAUGCCAUAACCAUCAUUUAUU
Long non-coding RNA from Labrus mixtus (cuckoo wrasse), 943 nucleotides. RefSeq lists it as uncharacterized. The transcript has 2 exons. The record is from RefSeq and is a predicted model, not a curated record. NCBI's taxonomy places the organism in Eukaryota, Metazoa, Chordata, Actinopteri, Labriformes, Labridae.